UGAGAUCAGAAAGAUGUGCG
Molecule: microRNA, 20 nt
Filed under: Hordeum vulgare
Lineage: Eukaryota; Viridiplantae; Streptophyta; Magnoliopsida; Poales; Poaceae
Description: hvu-miR6209
Source: miRBase by way of RNAcentral